This 451-nucleotide ribosomal RNA is filed under the name Bacillus sp. (in: firmicutes). RNAcentral's name for it is "bacterial SSU rRNA". It matches the Rfam family "Bacterial small subunit ribosomal RNA", at positions 21 to 462 of the family's 1533-position model. The record is from RNAcentral. Lineage: Bacteria; Bacillati; Bacillota; Bacilli; Caryophanales; Bacillaceae.
GGCUCAGGACGAACGCUGGCGGCGUGCCUAAUACAUGCAAGUCGAGCGGACAGAAGGGAGCUUGCUCCCGGAUGUUAGCGGCGGACGGGUGAGUAACACGUGGGUAACCUGCCUGUAAGACUGGGAUAACUCCGGGAAACCGGAGCUAAUACCGGAUAGUUCCUUGAACCGCAUGGUUCAAGGAUGAAAGACGGUUUCGGCUGUCACUUACAGAUGGACCCGCGGCGCAUUAGCUAGUUGGUGGGGUAAUGGCUCACCAAGGCGACGAUGCGUAGCCGACCUGAGAGGGUGAUCGGCCACACUGGGACUGAGACACGGCCCAGACUCCUACGGGAGGCAGCAGUAGGGAAUCUUCCGCAAUGGACGAAAGUCUGACGGAGCAACGCCGCGUGAGUGAUGAAGGUUUUCGGAUCGUAAAGCUCUGUUGUUAGGGAAGAACAAGUGCGAGAGU